RNAcentral lists this ribosomal RNA (1504 nucleotides) under Bacillus sp. pp2. Its description in RNAcentral is "partial 16S ribosomal RNA". It matches the Rfam family "Bacterial small subunit ribosomal RNA". Lineage: Bacteria; Bacillati; Bacillota; Bacilli; Caryophanales; Bacillaceae. The record is from RNAcentral.
CGCAGGGGCCGGGAGCUAAUACAUGCAGUCGAGCGAAUGGAUUAAGAGCUUGCUCUUAUGAAGUUAGCGGCGGACGCGUUAGAGUAACACGUGGGUAACCUGCCCAUAAGACUGGGAUAACUCCGGGAAACCGGGGCUAAUACCGGAUAACAUUUUGAACCGCAUGGUUCGAAAUUGAAAGGCGGCUUCGGCUGUCACUUAUGGAUGGACCCGCGUCGCAUUAGCUAGUUGGUGAGGUAACGGCUCACCAAGGCAACGAUGCGUAGCCGAYCUGAGAGGGUSAUCGRCCACWYKGGGAYYGAGACACKGCCCAGACUCYWACGGRRGGCAGGCACGUASGGAAUCYUCCCGCMAUUGGACGAAAGUCKRACGRAGCAACGCCCGCKUGAGUKAUUGAAGGCUUUCGGKUCGUAAAAACUUUCUGUUGUWARGGAAGAAACAAGUGGCUAAGUUGAAUAAAGCCUGGCACCUUGACCGGUACCUUAACCAGAAAAGGCCAASGGCUAACUACGUGGCCAGCAGCCGCGGUAAUACGUAGGUGGCAAGCGUUAUCCGGGAAUUAUUGGGGCGUAAAGCGCGCGCAGGUGGUUUCUUAAGUCUGAUGUGAAAGCCCACGGCUCAACCGUGGAGGGUCAUUGGAAACUGGGAGACUUGAGUGCAGAAGAGGAAAGUGGGAAUUCCAUGUGUAGCGGUGAAAUGCGUAGAGAUAUGGAGGAACACCAGUGGCGAAGGCGACUUUCUGGUCUGUAACUGACACUGAGGCGCGAAAGCGUGGGGAGCAAACAGGAUUAGAUACCCKKGGUAGUCCACGCCGUAAACGAUGAGUGCUAAGUGUUAGAGGGUUUCCGCCCCUUUAGUGCUGAAGUUAACGCAUUAAGCACUCCSSCUGGGGGAGUACGGGCCGCCAAGGCUGAAACUCAAAAGGAAUUGACGGGGGGCCCGCACARSCGGUGGAGCCAUGUGGUUWAAWUCGCRAGCAACGCGGAAGAACCUUACCARGUCUUGACAUCCUCUGAAAACCCUAGAGAUAGGGCUUCUCCUUCGGGAGCAGAGUGACAGGUGGUGCAUGGUUGUCGUCAGCUCGUGUCGUGAGAUGUUGGGUUAAGUCCCGCAACGAGCGCAACCCUUGAUCUUAGUUGCCAUCAUUAAGUUGGGCACUCUAAGGUGACUGCCGGUGACAAACCGGAGGAAGGUGGGGAUGACGUCAAAUCAUCAUGCCCCUUAUGACCUGGGCUACACACGUGCUACAAUGGACGGUACAAAGAGCUGCAAGACCGCGAGGUGGAGCUAAUCUCAUAAAACCGUUCUCAGUUCGGAUUGUAGGCUGCAACUCGCCUACAUGAAGCUGGAAUCGCUAGUAAUCGCGGAUCAGCAUGCCGCUGUGUGAAGUACGUUCCCGGGCCUUGUACACACCGCCCGUCCCUUCCUAUGGAGUUUGUAACACCCGAAGUCGGUGGGGUAACCUUUUGGAGCCAGCCGCCUAAGGUGGACAGAGGGUUUUGGG